ACCUCUGUAGCAGGAUGAUUUGGGUAAGUUGUUUUAAAAGCACAUUAUUUUGAUAAUAGCUUAACUCUUUAAAAAACUGCAUACUACCAAUUUACUGCACAAUCUAUGGCACACUACCAAUCCUUGUAUUCCAAGAUAACAGUUCUGAUAGUAUCACUUCUCUUCUUGGACUACAUAGGUCUGCAUUAUUUAUUAUCAAAGGCUUGGUUCACAACAGUGGUCUAUAUAACAAGAUUUUUCUUGUCCUGGUGUAUCUUUCCCAUAGUACCAUUUUGCCUGAUGUAAUACAUGCAAAUCAACCAUGGGGUGGAGCAGGUCUCCAGGAUUAAUGACGUUGUCCACAAAGCAUUGUCUGCUAUUUUCCUUCUCUGUUCUAUUCAAUUUGUUUCUAUUUUAUAUUGGUUGCUUCUUUUAUAAUAAAUGCUGCAAAACCAUCAUGGC
Molecule: long non-coding RNA, 441 nt
Filed under: Bos taurus (domestic cattle)
Lineage: Eukaryota; Metazoa; Chordata; Mammalia; Artiodactyla; Bovidae
Description: long non-coding RNA NONBTAT002649
Source: RNAcentral